UCUGAUCUCAUGGUGCCUCGUUUCCCUAAUU
This 31-nucleotide non-coding RNA is filed under the name Mus musculus (house mouse). The record is from RNAcentral. Lineage: Eukaryota; Metazoa; Chordata; Mammalia; Rodentia; Muridae.